UGCGCCGCACUGGGGAGAGGAAGACAUCGAGUGGCUCCAAGCCAGCUGCUUCACCUGCUACACCUGCUGUGUUGUGCCUCGCAGCGGGAAGGAGGUCAGUGCUGGACAAGCCAUCAGAUCUUUGUCUGCUGCUGGAACUGCUCCGUGAAGCUCCUGCCUUCCCAAGACGGAGCUGGUGCAGUCUUGUAUCCCAUAUGGAGAACGAGUAUUUCAAGGAUUUUGGGGUUCUCUUUGUUCCAGUAGGUUGGUAUCUGGAACAGUUUGUAUCUAGCAGUUAUUUACUUUUUUUUCUCCUCCCUACUGGCAUUCUGUUUGUUAAUAAACCAGGGUAUUUUCCACUUUCAUCUAUUAGUAUUAACUUCUUAUUGGUGUAAUGGGAUUGUUGGAACCUUAAAGUAGACAGCUCAUUCCAGAAUGUUUUCCUUCGAAUUAUCUCAAAUCAACACAAAGCUCCUUCUCCCACUUUGUCGGCAGGAUCCAGUCUUUGUUUGCGGAUGAGUGAUCUCACACUUAAAUAGAUUAAAAUAAACUUUACUUAAGUGGCUCAGCAUAGUAGAUGCUUCAAAGCACUCUCUAUCCUCCCCUUUUAAAAAAGUAUUUUUGUGUUAUCUGCAAAAUGUGGAAGCAAUUUUGUAUUUAUUUUCAGAUCUUUAAUUUUAAGCUUUCUGCUGAUCUCUGUAGAACAUAAUUAGAAAUAACCCACUUAAUAAACCUACACUGACAUCUCCUUUCUACAUCAGUCUGAUAAAUAUUAACUUUUAUAUAUACAAAUUUUUUGCAAUUUUUUAAAUCUUUUUUUAAAAUUCAUAGUGCCUAAAAUGUUAAGUGAAAUUACAAGCCUCUAAAAUUCUAUCACAAUCUUCAUAUCUUCACAUCUUCUAUCUUCAUUCUUCACUGAUCAAACUCAUUAAUUCAUUACUCAGGGUUUGGGUUUUUUUCUUUUUAAAAUUAAGCCGGUUUUGUUCCUUUAAUUUCUUGAGCAUGACAUAAUUGCAUUUCCAUUAUAUUGUUUAUAUGAUGAUGUAAAUCUACAGCCCUUUAGAUCAGCUUUCCUACCCUUUUUUCGUAUAUUGACACUUUAAAGUUCCAUAUGGUGGUUUUUUUAACUCUCUUUACUUUCUACCCAUCUGCUAGCUGAAAAAUUUAUAUAUUCCCCAUUUUUUUCCUCACAGAAAACAGGCAGCAAUCUAAAACAAGAUCAGCAGUCUCUGAACUACAAUAAGUAUAAAGUGUAAAGUUUACCCUUGCUUUCUUAAGUUCACUUUUUUCUGUUAAUACAAUACAAAUAUCUGGUUGGACACAAAGCAAACAAGGUGCAAUGGAGGAAGGAAAUGUUUUUGAAGAGAGUACAAGUGGAGACAGUGCAUAUGAAAACUCAGCAUGAAAAGCAAAUCUAUUUUUCUCAACAAACUUGAAGAGCAGCCUCAGAAGCAUCUGUGUGGAAUCCUGCUGCAGAUCAGAAAACAGGCUACAGCCCAGGGACCUGGUCUGUAAAUGGAACCCAGAUCAUAAGAACUAACUCCAGCAACUUGAACAAUGGAUGAAAUUCUUUUUAUUUACCCAUAGAUUACCUUAAUUUUCCCUGACCUUUUCCUCAUGAGUAAGUGCAUGUGGGGGGGAAAGGAAAUACACAAAUGGGAUUCUGCUUCUCUAAGAAGCACUCUUGAUAACCAUCUUGUUUCACUUUUGUUAUAGUUAUAGAGUGUAUCUGCUCUACCAUCCUUCCCUUGUAAUACCCAAAGACUCCAAGUCAGGCCAAAAAAUCUCAGAUUAACAUUUCGGUAGGCUUUCCAAGACGCAAAUAAUUGAAAAGGGCAUGUUCACCAGGUAGGACUUACAGGAAACCAUCAUCUUUGCAUUCAGUGUGUGCACCAUAAACAAUAGAGCUUGCACUGGGAAUUAUGACCUUGUAAAACCAUGUAGGUGGAGGACAGGUUUGUAUUUCCAGAUUCUGUAACCAUGAUAUUCUAUGAAAAAUCCUUUCCUAGGAUUUUUCCUGUCCUGAGGAGCUGAGAGCCUCAGGAAAGAAAUGUAAACAAUAACUAUCUGCUGCUAUUGGAAUGCCACAGGUGCAUCUUUCAUUGGUCCAUGUGGAUUGUUUUCAAUUAGUGACCAAUCACAGCCACCUGUGCCAAGGCUGUGAGCAGUCACAGGAUUUUGUUAUUGACUCCUAUUCUGUUCUUGUCUUUGUAGCCUUCUGAUCUUCUUCUCUCUGUUCUUUUAGUAUAGUUUUAAUGUAGUAUUUUAAUAUAAUAUAUAACAUAAUAAAUCAGCCUUCUGAUCAAAAUGGAGUCAAGCCUCGUGUCCUCACACAAGGGGUCAUUGCAGAGACAAGAAGAUUCACCUUUUAUUCCAGGAUGUAUGUGUACUCUUUUUCAUUAAUGUCACAAACAAAUCUCAACCUUGUUAAAAGCCAAUUUAAAGAUAUUUGCCUCCUUGACCAGACAUUGGCACUUCACAAUCUUACUUUUUGACAAUGUGGAUUAAAAAAAAAAAAAAAAAAACCACCCCAAAGCAAGCAGACAAAUUUUUAAAAAAAUUUAAAAAAUGUCCUGCACAAACGGAACCAAAUAGAUUCCUUAAAAAAAUGUACCACAGACUCAAAAGCUCAUGAAUAUAUGCCACUUCUCCUUUCCAGUUAGACCCACUGAUGUAGAUCUGGCUAUUUAACUCUCAGCUUCAUCUUCAAACUAGGACAGUGAACUUGGUCUUGGGGCUUCACCAGACUUCAAGUAUGGGGAGGCCUGGCAGAUUGACUACAUCACACUGCUUCAGACAAACCAAAAAAGCGCUACGUGCUGACCAUGGUAGAUGCCACCACUGGAUGGCUGCAGACCUACCCUGUGCCUCACACUACUGCCUGGAGCAUCAUCUUAGGCCUAGAAAAGUCCUCUAGAGACAUGGCAUCCCUGAGAGGAUCGAGUCAGACAACGAGACCCAUUUCAAGAACAGCCUUAUAAACACCUGGGCCAGAGAACAUAGUAUUGAAUGGAUACAUCAUAUCCCUUAUUAUACACCAGCUGCCGGGAAAGCUGAACGGUGCAAUGCACUGCUUAAGACUACUGUGAACGCACUUGGCGGGGGAAGCUCUUAGAAAUUGAGAAAUGAACUUAGCAAAAGCCACCUGGAUGGUCAGCACCUGAAGGGUCCAUCAAUCGAGCUGGUCCUGCCCAGUCUGAAACCCUGCACACAGUGGAUGGAGAUAAUGUCCCUGUGGUACAUAUGAAAGAUAUUUUAGGAAAGACUGUUUGGAUUAAUCCCACCUCAGGCAAACACAAACAUAUCCAUUGGAUUGUUUUUGCUCAAGGACCUGGUUACACUUGGUGGGUAAUGCAGAAAGAUGGAGAAAGCCAUUGUGUACCACAGGGAAACCUGUGUGUAAAGUUUCAUUGUGAUGCAGAUGGAAAUAGAAUAAGGGGUGGAUAAUGUCCUAGACUGCAAGACAACAAUGUGUAUUCUAUUUGCCAUCUGUUAGUGGUGUGGCAGUUAUUGUCUGUUAAUUGGACUGUUUUCUUUAUCUCUUCCACAAACCAAUCCUCCCUUGGGAGACAUCUGCUGUUAACGGACCACUGAGUGUCACUGCAUGACUGAUAAAAACUACAUCAUCCCAUUAUGAGAUGCUCCACCCAGAGGGAGGAGCCAAGUAUUCCUAACUGGGAAUCUGAGCUCUUUGGGACACCAGCACAGCCUUUCUACUGCAUUCCCAGAGGAGCAGCUGCCUCUUCCACUGGAUCUUCAGAGGAAGACUACACCCUUCUACAGGAUCACUGCUUCAACAGAACCACAUCUGUUCCAGGAGGACUGCAGCCACCAUUUCUAUUGGACUGCUACCAACACCCUGACCCAGAGGGUAUCAGAUUACAAGACUUGACAGGGAAGUGAAAUAGCACAGCAGACCUCAAAGCCAAGAACAAAACACACAGCUAGCCUUGUGAUGAGGCUUCUUCCAGUGCCAGUGAGAAAUACAGCUUCAACGAGGAGCCCAGCUUAUACGGCAUUAAACCACUAGAAUGUGCAGUUCCAGGAACAUGGAAGGAUACAACAAUGACAACUCCAAGAUGCAAAACUACUAAGACCCCAUGAUCUUUCUCCCCUCCAGCACUGUACUUCUUGAAACAAUCUUGGUCUUAACUAGAAAGAGGACCUGGAAUGUUAGACCGAAAAGGCAGGAAUUUCCUACUCUCCCGUGAGGACGGAAGGCCCAGCUCUGCCUGUAGACCAGCGGACACAGCUACAUUAUCAUCCUCCUCCGUGCCACUCCUGGGAGCACAGGCAGUGUGGGCGCGACCCAUCGAUUUCUCCCCACCUGAGCUGAUUCUUUUUAAUAAAGACAUAUAAAAA
Molecule: long non-coding RNA, 4341 nt
Organism: Passer domesticus (house sparrow)
Lineage: Eukaryota; Metazoa; Chordata; Aves; Passeriformes; Passeridae
Exons: 4
Source: RefSeq, a predicted model, not a curated record